AUAUCUCCAGGCUUGGCUCAUACAACAUCAAACAACUUUAAAAGGGAGCUGCGGACAGAAAAAUAAGGUAAGUGAAAGAAUUCAUAGAAUUUGAAAGAGAAGCUUUGCUCUAGCUGGAUGUGACCUCCGGCAUCCUUGCCAUCAUGUGAGCAUCUCUUCAAGCUGGUAAUAGUUCACUGCGACAACUACUGCUCACCUCCAACCCAUCAUGUAUGAUCAACG
RNAcentral lists this long non-coding RNA (222 nucleotides) under Hordeum vulgare. RNAcentral describes it as "long non-coding RNA (HVUL_LNC005755)". The record is from RNAcentral. Lineage: Eukaryota; Viridiplantae; Streptophyta; Magnoliopsida; Poales; Poaceae.